GGCGCAUGUGGUUUAGUGGUUAGCACGUUCACUCACACCUCCAGGGUCGGGGGUUCGAUUCCCACCGUGGCCC
This is a non-coding RNA of Ameiurus melas (black bullhead), 73 nucleotides long. The record is from the annotation of a GenBank genome assembly. NCBI's taxonomy places the organism in Eukaryota, Metazoa, Chordata, Actinopteri, Siluriformes, Ictaluridae.